RNAcentral lists this ribosomal RNA (275 nucleotides) under uncultured Burkholderiales bacterium. RNAcentral describes it as "partial 16S ribosomal RNA". It matches the Rfam family "Bacterial small subunit ribosomal RNA", at positions 505 to 779 of the family's 1533-position model. The record is from RNAcentral. Lineage: Bacteria; Pseudomonadati; Pseudomonadota; Betaproteobacteria; Burkholderiales.
GUGCCAGCAGCCGCGGUAAUACGUAGGGUGCGAGCGUUAAUCGGAAUUACUGGGCGUAAAGCGUGCGCAGGCGGCUUUGCAAGACAGAGGUGAAAUCCCCGGGCUCAACCUGGGAACUGCCUUUGUGACUGCAAGGCUAGAGUACGGCAGAGGGGGAUGGAAUUCCGCGUGUAGCAGUGAAAUGCGUAGAUAUGCGGAGGAACACCGAUGGCGAAGGCAAUCCCCUGGGCCUGUACUGACGCUCAUGCACGAAAGCGUGGGGAGCAAACAGGAUU